Non-coding RNA from Erythranthe guttata (spotted monkey flower), 599 nucleotides. Lineage: Eukaryota; Viridiplantae; Streptophyta; Magnoliopsida; Lamiales; Phrymaceae. The record is from RefSeq and is a predicted model, not a curated record.
UUCAAAAAAGAAAAAAAAAAUCAAAAACAAAAACUUCUGAAAAUUAUUGGGCUAAUUUCGGUAGCAGUACAAUUGAACAGAUGCAUCUCAAAGUCGAAGUAGGAAAAUUUAGAAAGAGAUUUUGCAGAAAGAAAGAGAAGAUUCACAAUUAAUCUUAGGCAAUGGUGAAUGAGGAGAGAGAGAGAGGACUGGUGUAGGAACUUCAUUGGGUGAAGACAGUGAUUCCAUGCUCGACGAGUGUGGCGUGGCAGUUGAAGAUGGGGAUGCGGAGUUACGAUGUGAUUGAACAGUCGGCGGCGCGUGUGACGGAGUUUUGGCUGCUAUGGUAGGGGCCGACGAUGGUGUGUAAUCGGACAUAUGGACGGAGAACGAGACAUCAACAGCCUCAAAUCCUUGCUUGCACAAUUAAUUGAGGGAUAAUUUCUGUUCUUUUGGCCAAUUAAUUGAGGAGAGAGGGAGAAGAAUUUCUGAAGUUAAGAUUGGGUGAUGGGGUGGAAGAUGGUUUUCCUCAGAGGGGUUUUGAGGGGCACAAAGGCCAAAAUUACACAUUCAGGCACAUUUUUUACCAUUCUUCAAAAAACAAAAAGUAAAAAAACUCA